RNAcentral lists this transfer RNA (73 nucleotides) under Planctomycetota bacterium. Its description in RNAcentral is "Planctomycetes bacterium (sediment metagenome) tRNA-Glu". It matches the Rfam family "tRNA". Rfam says of the family: Transfer RNA (tRNA) molecules are approximately 80 nucleotides in length. The record is from RNAcentral. Lineage: Bacteria; Pseudomonadati; Planctomycetota.
GUCCCCAUCGUCUAGAGGCCCAGGACAGUGGCUUUUCAAGCCACCAACGGGGGUUCGAAUCCCCCUGGGGACG